GGGGCCGAUUUUGGAUUUGACAGCAAGUCUGAACGUCGCGGUCAGCAUGCCGAGUGCUUAGGGUGGCCACUCGUUAAUCAAGAAACCCAAGCCAUAACUGGCAACACUUCCUACGCGCUCGCGGCCUAAUCCUCUCGGAGGAUUCGCCUAAUUCUAGCCACAGAGUGGCAGAACGAGCUGUCCCGGUCUCGUCGUUCGGAUCCUAUCCGCGAGGCAAUGGGGCAUCAGGAGAAUGGAUCUAGCGAAAGGGGCGUCUUGACCCUGUAGCGAAAUUUUACAAGGCUAAGUCAAGGGUGGGCCGUCCACGGUCAGCCCUUGGUCGAAAACCAAUCGUGGACUGAGCAUGGAGAACGCUGCAGGCGUUGCUUGUUUGGACGGGGGUUCGACUCCCCCCGGCUCCACUU
RNAcentral lists this transfer-messenger RNA (404 nucleotides) under Flavobacteriales. Its description in RNAcentral is "UBA8752 sp002683735 Standard tmRNA". It matches the Rfam family "transfer-messenger RNA". From Rfam's summary of the family: Bacterial tmRNA, also known as 10Sa RNA or SsrA, is named for its dual tRNA and mRNA-like properties. Its role is to liberate the mRNA from a stalled ribosome. To accomplish this part of the tmRNA is used as a reading frame that ends in a translation stop signal. The record is from RNAcentral. RNAcentral also lists the same sequence under 1 other name. Lineage: Bacteria; Pseudomonadati; Bacteroidota; Flavobacteriia.